CUGUGAGCUCGAUGAGUAGGGCGGGACACGUGGUAUCCUGUCUGAAUAUGGGGGGACCAUCCUCCAAGGCUAAAUACUCCUGACUGACCGAUAGUGAACCAGUACCGUGAGGGAAAGGCGAAAAGAACCCCGGCGAGGGGAGUGAAAAAGAACCUGAAACCGUGUACGUACAAGCAGUGGGAGCACGCUUCGGCGUGUGACUGCGUACCUUUUGUAUAAUGGGUCAGCGACUUAUAUUCUGUAGCAAGGUUAACCGAAUAGGGGAGCCGAAGGGAAACCGAGUCUUAACUGGGCGUUAAGUUGCAGGGUAUAGACCCGAAACCCGGUGAUCUAGCCAUGGGCAGGUUGAAGGUUGGGUAACACUAACUGGAGGACCGAACCGACUAAUGUUGAAAAAUUAGCGGAUGACUUGUGGCUGGGGGUGAAAGGCCAAUCAAACCGGGAGAUAGCUGGUUCUCCCCGAAAGCUAUUUAGGUAGCGCCUCGUGAAUUCAUCUCCGGGGGUAGAGCACUGUUUCGGCAAGGGGGUCAUCCCGACUUACCAACCCGAUGCAAACUGCGAAUACCGGAGAAUGUUAUCACGGGAGACACACGGCGGGUGCUAACGUCCGUCGUGAAGAGGGAAACAACCCAGACCGCCAGCUAAGGUCCCAAAGUCAUGGUUAAGUGGGAAACGAUGUGGGAAGGCCCAGACAGCCAGGAUGUUGGCUUAGAAGCAGCCAUCAUUUAAAGAAAGCGUAAUAGCUCACUGGUCGAGUCGGCCUGCGCGGAAGAUGUAACGGGGCUAAACCAUGCACCGAAGCUGCGGCAGCGACACUAUGUGUUGUUGGGUAGGGGAGCGUUCUGUAAGCCUGUGAAGGUGUGCUGUGAGGCAUGCUGGAGGUAUCAGAAGUGCGAAUGCUGACAUAAGUAACGAUAAAGCGGGUGAA
Molecule: ribosomal RNA, 928 nt
Filed under: Escherichia coli
Lineage: Bacteria; Pseudomonadati; Pseudomonadota; Gammaproteobacteria; Enterobacterales; Enterobacteriaceae
Description: partial 23S ribosomal RNA
Rfam family: Bacterial large subunit ribosomal RNA
Source: RNAcentral